AGUGAACGCUGGCGGUAUGCCUAACACAUGCAAGUCGAACGAGUGGCGCACGUGUGAGGCAUACAUCGGAAUCUCCUCUGUCGUUGGGGAUAAUUUGGGGAAACUUACGCUAAUCCCGCAUACCUUUGACUGAUACGUUGUCGGAUUCUCCAGUUGGCGGUGUAAAGGCUCACCAGGGCGACGAUCCGUAGUUGGUCUGAGAGGGUGAUCGGCCACACUGGAACUGAGACACGGUCCAGACUCCUACGGGAGGCAGCAGUGGGGAAUAUUGGACAAUGGGCGAAAGCCUGAUCCAGCCAUGCCGCGUGAGUGAAGAAGGCCUUCGGAUUGUAAAGCCCUUUUGUUGGGGAAGCGGUACCCAAACAAUAAGCAACGGCUAACUUCGUGCCAGCAGCCGCGGUAAUAC
This 406-nucleotide ribosomal RNA is filed under the name uncultured bacterium. RNAcentral's name for it is "partial 16S ribosomal RNA". It matches the Rfam family "Bacterial small subunit ribosomal RNA", at positions 29 to 526 of the family's 1533-position model. The record is from RNAcentral.